RNAcentral lists this long non-coding RNA (257 nucleotides) under Phoenix dactylifera (date palm). RNAcentral describes it as "long non-coding RNA (PDAC_LNC003248)". The record is from RNAcentral. Lineage: Eukaryota; Viridiplantae; Streptophyta; Magnoliopsida; Arecales; Arecaceae.
UUUAUUUGUUUAUGAGCUACUAACAAAGCAUCUUCAACUUAAAAAUAUGAAUGAGACAUGCAUGUGUAGUCCCAUCCUCCUCUGAAGCUUUUUCCUAGCUGCGUUUUUCUGACCACGUCAGGGAUGCUCCAGGGUUUUCAACCUCCUUGUGAUAAUGGAAUUCUUGUGCUCACUGGAUGUAUUUUUUCUUUUUCCACAAAAACGGAUAUCUUGGUGGAAUCCUUAUCCCACCAUGCAUUUGUAAUGUGUAAUGUAGG